CCUACGGGAGGCAGCAGUGAGGAAUAUUGGUCAAUGGACGAGAGUCUGAACCAGCCAAGUAGCGUGAAGGAUGACUGCCCUAUGGGUUGUAACCUUCUUUUAUAAAGGAAUAAAACGAGGCACGUGUGCCUUUUUGCAUGUACUUUAUGAAUAAGGAUCGGCUAACUCCGUGCCAGCAGCCGCGGUAAUACGGAGGAUCCGAGCGUUAUCCGGAUUUAUUGGGUUUAAAGGGAGCGUAGAUGGGUUGUUAAGUCAGUUGUGAAAGUUUGCGGCUCAACCGUAAAAUUGCAAUUGAUACUGGCAGUCUUGAGUACAGUUGAGGGAGGCGGAAUUCGUGGUGUAGCGGUGAAAUGCUUAGAUAUCACGAAGAACCCCGAUUGCGAAGGCAGCUUACUAAACUGUGACUGACAUUGAUGCUCGAAAGUGUGGGUAUCAAACAGGAUUAGAGACCCUAGUAGUC
This 460-nucleotide ribosomal RNA is filed under the name uncultured bacterium. Its description in RNAcentral is "partial 16S ribosomal RNA". It matches the Rfam family "Bacterial small subunit ribosomal RNA", at positions 338 to 795 of the family's 1533-position model. The record is from RNAcentral.